This 513-nucleotide ribosomal RNA is filed under the name uncultured Glomus. RNAcentral describes it as "SSU rRNA". It matches the Rfam family "Eukaryotic small subunit ribosomal RNA", at positions 569 to 1081 of the family's 1831-position model. The record is from RNAcentral. Lineage: Eukaryota; Fungi; Glomeromycota; Glomeromycetes; Glomerales; Glomeraceae.
AGCAGCCGCGGUAAUUCCAGCUCCAACAGCGUAUAUUAAAGUUGUUGCAGUUAAAAAGCUCGUAGUUGAAUUUCGGGAUCAAUCUAUCGGUCGUGCAAUAGUACGUACUGAUUUUAUUGAUUCCUUCCUUCUGAUGAACUAUGAUGUCAUUAACUUGGUGUCAUAGGGGAAUCAGGACUGUUACUUUAGAAAAAAUUAGAGUGUUUAAAGCAGGCUCACGCUUGAAUACAUUAGCAUGGAAUAACGAAAUAGGACGUUUGAUUCUAUUUUGUUGGUUUCUAGGAUCGACGUAAUGAUUAAUAGGGAUAGUUGGGGGCAUUAGUAUUCAAUUGUCAGAGGUGAAAUUCUUGGAUUUAUUGAAGACUAACUACUGCGAAAGCAUUUGCCAAGGAUGUUUUCAUUAAUCAAGAACGAAAGUUAGGGGAUCGAAGACGAUCAGAUACCGUCGUAGUCUUAACCAUAAACUAUGCCGACUAGGGAUCGGAUGAUGUUAAUUUUUUAAUUGACUCAUUC